RNAcentral lists this long non-coding RNA (489 nucleotides) under Pongo abelii (Sumatran orangutan). Its description in RNAcentral is "lincRNA". The record is from RNAcentral. Lineage: Eukaryota; Metazoa; Chordata; Mammalia; Primates; Hominidae.
AGCUGAAUAGUGUGUUUCCCAAAAUUCAUAUGUUGACACCUUAACCCCCAGCACCUAAGGAUGUAACUAUAUUUGGAGAUAGUGUCAUCAGAGAGUCUCAGGUAUGUCUUUAUUAGCAGGAUUAAAAUGAACCAAUACAUCCCACUCCACUGUUUAAAGCAAAACUCCUGGCUCUAUGGGGUCUUCAAUUUACUGAAUGUUUUCUAGAUGCUUGCCCCUAAUUCUCUGAUGAGUCAAGAAACCUGCCACCUUAAGGUGCUUACUGGGUGGCUGUGGAUGUCUAACCUCAGUGCCAGCCACACAGAACCUGAAGCAGGGGUGGUUGCUCCUCUUAAUGGCAUGGAAUCCCAGUGAACAUCCUGCAUCCUCAGUGGCCAGCUGUCUGAGGCCACAGUUGUUUCUGAUGAUCGAGGACAAGGAGACUUACCACCCCAUGGCUGAGGCAUUCACAAAAAAAAAAUAGCUCACAUUAUGUUUUGCUUGUUUGCA